CCAGUAUUCACUAGAACAUCUCCCCUCUGCUCUUCUCCAAACUGGACCCUCAACUCCUCCCUUGACUAAUUCCAAUAAGGGGGUUGAGUGGGCACCACACUGUUUGAGCAGCCAUGCAAAAGCCAUCUAGAGGAGGACCAUGGCCCAACAAUGGCAGUGGGAGAGAAGAUGACUCUGUGGAGGACACUCUCCGUUAUCUGUGAUGACAUACACCAGCCCCCGAACAAUUUAACCUCAAGCUGCCCUCUGCAAGACUUCGGUAGCACUGGACUUCCCUCAUUCCUGAUGACAACUUCAGAAGAGGCAAAAUUUCCCCAGGAGAAAAGAAAACAGGAGGUCUUCAGUCAACAUGGAGUUUGAAGCCGCCCAUGGCUGAAGCUCAGAAUACUCUGGAGAGCUGAGAGUCCUUCUUCAGCGGCUGGGCCGUUCUGCAGCAGCUGCAGCCGCCUCUGGGCCUGGGCGUCCCGGUGGGCAGGCGUGCGUAGGUGUUGCAGCAAGGCUAGGCGGGAGGGCGUGUCCCAGGCGCACAACAGGCAGUGGUAAAGCCCGGGCUCCGGCCCUGCCUCUGCUCCCUCCAUUUCCAGCAGAAACUAGAAGCAUGGAAGAGGCCAGCUCAGAUGUAGAAGGCACACCUCCAGACCUCUGGGGGCUGUUCCUCCUCGCUUAGACUCUUUCAUGCCUGGGUGGCCUCCCUCCACCCUGCUAUGGCUUCCCAUCUGCUUCUCCUCUCCAUUUCCUUCUUUCUCCCAUCAGUCCUGGGUCCCCCAGUGUGUGGCUGGGAGUUGCUUCUGUCCUGGAUACCAUGAUGGCUGGACUGAGAUGGCCUCAUCCCUAUAGCAUGCUAGAACAGCUAAAUCAAGUCUGUUUCUCCUCCUCGGAGCCCACUGCCCUUUGGCCUCUCUCCAGGUCUGCCCAGCACUCUGCUACCCUGUUCUUCAUGUCCAUCACCACAGGUUUCUCCUCCACCUCUCUGCGCUGCGUCUCCCACCCUACCCUGUCCCUCCUCCCUCUCCCGCCCCCUCCUGCCUGAACGUCACCUUAUAGAUCUGGCUGUUUUCUUCGUGGGCUGAACCCCGGGUGUGCAGCUGCAUCUUCUCCUUGCUGUUGGACUCGAAGUCACAGAUGUUGCAGCGCAGGUGAAGUGGGGAGAUGGAGCCGUAAGAAGCCCCAUCCCCCAGGGCCAGUAGGGAAGGGGUGCCCAUGGCUCCGCCCCCCUCCCGGAGGUGGGCUGCUAGCUGGUAUUUCUGAGUGUGUUUGUCGGUCUUGAGGUGGAGCUGGAAGUUGGCCUUGAGCUGGGUGCCAUAGCAGCAGAGCUUGCAGCGGUGGGUAUCCCCAGCUACCUCCUUCCAUUCGGCCUCCGGCAGGCUCCGGCCAAUGCUGCAGUGGUACAGCAGCAGCUCCAGGCUGUCUGUGCUGAAAGCCUGGCACACCAGGCAGCGGAACACCUUCAGGGCUGGGCUGUCAUCUGGGGAUGGCGAAGUGGGCAGCCCAUCAGAUGAGGAGCCCAGGAGCUGACUUGGUGGCAGAUGGGUCUCAGGGGAGAGGCUGCCAGGGGCUGGGGGGGACAGAGACAGAUUAGGAAGAAAUGAGCGGGGCACUUAGGAUAAGCUGUGUUUACCUAAGUGGGGAGAUGACCUUUGGGAGAAGGCAGGGAAUACAAUUGGACUUGGGUACGAAGUGGCAGGAGCAGAGAGGGGACUUACCAGCUGUGGGGAACUUGCGGGCAGGCGCUCCAAGGUGGUGGAAACCAUUUAGGAGUAGCUGGGCUUCAAGGGGCUUGUCUGGCCUCAGCCCGGGCCCAGGCAUGGGUGUCUGAGGCUGUCCUAGGGCCUGGGGCCCAAAGUACUGGAAGAGUUCAGGAGGGUUGGUGGGGGCAGCCCCUGGUGGGGGAGGAGGUCCUGGCCCCACCAGCCCUGGUGGCAGGCCAAGUGGCAGCCCCUGGUGCAACAUCAGGACGUUCUGCAUGUGUUUCUCAGAAGUCAUGUGGAUGCGCAGGUUUCGGGAGAUGUUGGUUUCGUAGCUGCACACUUUGCACUGCCAGGAUGACUUGGUCUUGGGCUCUUUAUCCCCGACAGAGGUGGGUGGGAGGGAUGCCUCCGGGGGACUCGCCUGCCCGCCAGGCCCUGCCUGGAAGCCCUGCAGGUUGGCCAGGUGCUUGUCGGACUGCAUGUGGAUGCUGAGGUUGCCUUUGGUGGUGGUGGAGUAGUUGCAGACAUCGCAGCGGUAGGGCUUGUAGCCGCAGUUGUAGCUCUCUCCGCGGGCCAGGCGGGGGUGGGCGCCCCCGGCGCUACAGUAGCUGCAGUGGCUGUUGCUCUCGGGGUGCUUCUCCCGCAUGUGCACGUCCAGGGUCUGCUGGUACUUGUAGUGCCAGUUGCACUUGGGACACUUGAGAGUCUUGCAGGAAUUGCGUGAGUGUAGCAGGGACAUGUGACUGGACAGGCUGAGGCCCUGGAAGGCGGCAGGGGCUGGAGUGUAGUCAUCGGCCAGGCGACAGGACGGAGUCACUGUGCUGGUGUCCGGUACUUCGGGAGAAGGACGGGCAGCCAGAGACGGCGCUGAGGUAUCGUGGGACAACAUUUGGUCAGAAGAGCUAAAGCCUUGGAUUGGGUCGAAGCCAUGUUGGAUGUGAAGGGUGGAGUGCCAGCACAGGAGGAGGCACCAGCCAAGCUCAUGGUAUACCUACAGCGCUUCAGGCCUCUGGACUAUCAGCGCCUGCUAGAAGCAGCCAGUUCUGGUGAGGCCACAGGGGACUCAGCAUCCUGACAACAGCGUUCACUUUCCAAAAGGGAAGGUAACUCUGAAGCCGCCAUUCACAUCCGGACCCACGGUGCUCCUUUCCCUUACAACGGAGCCACUUUCCCCUCCAGCUCUGCCUGGUCUUUCGCCCACUCUGAGCUAUCCUUCCUGGAGCCCUCCCUGGCUGCUUCCCUCAUCCGUCAGAUGCAAUCUGUGGGCCGCCCCUCUCCCCUGGCCGCUAAGCAGCCUCCAUUGAUUUCCGCUCGUGUUUAUAGGAUUUCCACUUAGCCGUGAUCAGUAGUUAAGCACAGGAAAAUCCCUUGCCACCCCCCCCUCCCUUGGUCGAUGCCAUUGAUUCUGCCAGAGGCUCUGAAGCCGCCUUACAGCUGAGUUAGAGAUGAGGGGAAACAGCGGGGAUUUCCCUGCCCUGGGGUGUAGGGAAGAGCAAGAAGGUGGGGAAAAGGUUAGGAACUCCUUAAGGGAUCUAGAAAUUCAGGGCCUGCUGCUGUGCCGGGAGGGUAGAGUGCUCAGUGUGGCAGUUUAGAGAGAACAUUUGCUCUCCAACCCAGAGAGGGGUAGAAAGAAAAUGGUCAUUGUUGAGACCGGUUCCUAGGGUUUCAGGAAGUCAUACUUCCUGUGGAGAAGGCACCACCCUUGCUCUUAACACAUUUUUUUUUCUCUCAACUAGGUCAAAACAGGCCUCUCUUCCCUUCUCACGCUUCAUAGACUUUAUUUGUUGGGGAGGAGGCAGGCUCUCUAUAUUGCCUUGACAAAUAUAGGGUCUGAGUGCCACCUGCUGGUGGCCCUCAGGGUUGUGUCCCAAGCUGAGGGUGCAGAAAGAUUUGAGAGGAGCCGAGGCAGUUAUGAGGCAGGCAAGCUUAGGGAACAGGUUAGCAGCCUGGAACUCCACUUGGUUUGAGCUAUGCACACCUCUCAUCUCACUGCCACUUGGCAUCUUAGGACCCUCAGCUGCACGCACCAUGCACACACAUUCUUCUAACAGUGCAGCCAGGACCCCGCCUGUAUCGAGUAGCACUUAGAGCCCACUUCAGACAGUAAAUCUCUCUUUCCCCAGCAGCCAUCAAAACUCCCCUUCUGUGGACAGUUUUAUUCAAACACUUUAGGACAUACCCCAAAGUAGGGAGCUGAUUAGGCCUAAACGGGUUUGGGGUAACCUGUGAUCUUUGGGUGACCUUUUGAGGAGAACUCCCUAUGGACCGUCCUAUGCCUGUGCAGAAUGAGUUAGCUUAUGAUUAAAGUCAGCUGCAUCAUGGGAAGGGUUACGCACAGAGAAGAAAGGCUGACAGAAUCCAAGCCUGUCAAUGAAAACAGAGAAUCACUCAAAUUAUGCCACUUCACAGCUAACACCUUCGUUCCCUGAGACUUUAUUAAAGGAACACCGGGUGACUGCCCUGGGCUCUUAAGACUGUGGUCAUCACCCGUUUACAGAGCACUUCUAAUUUGUACGCUCAGUUUGCCUUUAAAUAAAGUUUACUUCGCCAUUUA
RNAcentral lists this long non-coding RNA (4242 nucleotides) under Mus musculus (house mouse). Its description in RNAcentral is "zinc finger homeobox 2, opposite strand". The record is from RNAcentral. Lineage: Eukaryota; Metazoa; Chordata; Mammalia; Rodentia; Muridae.